Mastomys coucha (southern multimammate mouse) is the source of this 2142-nucleotide long non-coding RNA. RefSeq lists it as uncharacterized. The transcript is spliced from 3 exons. NCBI's taxonomy places the organism in Eukaryota, Metazoa, Chordata, Mammalia, Rodentia, Muridae. The record is from RefSeq and is a predicted model, not a curated record.
ACUGCUUGGGAAAAGAAAGCUUCUAGCGCCUGCUUAGAGGGGUGAAGUUCAAGUCCCACAAUAUUGAUGGGAGAGUCAAAUUGUCUUCCCAGCUGUAACGAGUUGAAUUGUGUUCUCCCCAAAUUCAUUUGCAGGAGCACUGCUCCUACAGUGUAACUGUCAUUGGAGAUAGGAGAUUUAAACCGGCAAUGAAAUUAAAGGGAGCCUGUUAGGCUCUGAUCCAAUUUGAUGAGUGACUUAUAAGAAGAGGCAAUUAGGACACACAGAGGAAGGGAGAGCAGGGAGGCAAGCACACAGAGGAAAAGCCUGAGGGGACACAUUGAGAAAAGAGCUACCUGGAAGCCAAAGAAAAGCCGCAGCAAAGGAGCCUGCCAAUUCCUAGCCUCUUGGGGUCAGAAGCUUGUAGAGAGCAUCUCUGCUACCUACCACGAUUCCUAUAGCCUCUGAGUGAAAACUCACUGAGAGCAGAGCUGGUCACAUGCCCACUUCUACUUUUCAACCAACUGCCCACCUGCGACUCUUCUUGAUUUUCUUCCCUUGAUUAUUUCAUUCUGAGACAAGAAACUUGACACUGAUGCCACUCAGAAGAGCAGAGAGCGAAAACUGCUUUACAUUUUUAAUUUUGAAGCAUCAUGCACCACCAGAAAUAGCAAACAGAACAGGUUCAGUUACAAGAAGAGUGAGGAACACACCACAUAGCAGCAGCCUACAGAGAGGAAAGGCAGAUGCCAGAGAGGGAAGAAAUUCACGGGCACUUUUCCCAGCCAAGUCUCAGCCCUGCACGGAAGGAGCAUCUGUUUGUAAAGCCACUGACAGGGAAAGAGACAAAGAGAAAGGUGGAAUAAAGAAAUAAAGGCGAGAUCUAUAAAUUACAACUGUAAGCCCAGCUUCUUUACCUCUCACUCUGAGACAAACACUAGUAUGCUCGGUCACAUGACCAUCCCAGAAAAAGACAAUGGGAACACAAGUGACUUCAGCUCCUAUGUUACACAACCCCAUCUCUCUGGCAAAAGGAUUUUUUUUUAUUUUAUUUUAUAAUGGUUUACCAUCCAUAGGCUAUUAGACAUGUAAGUAAUUUUGGAGAUUUUCCUAGAAAUCUAAACUCACUAUUUUACUGCACCCAGUUGUACACAGGAGUGUAAGCUUGCCAUUUCUGCAUUUGUGUUUGAGCAAGAUUUUCAUUAAAGUACAGCAUACUUAGACAAAUGCACAUGGAUCAUAAAUAUAUAGCUUAGUUUUCAACAUGCAAAGUACAUAUAUUGAACUCAGCUUGAAAAGAAAAAUGUUCCAUUAACCACCAACUCACCCAUUGUGCUCCGUUUAUGGAACACCUACGAGAAUGGCUGAAAUGAAAAAGACAAGAGAGACCACUGUCUGGACUCCUGAGUGGACAGACCAAUUUCAUCUGCUCCUGAUAUUUAUGCUUCCCUUUCCUCUUUCUUCUCAUGAAAGCUGGGCAUGAUGAACCUUCUGGUUCAUCAUUUUGUCUGCCACUCAAUUAGACAUCACUUUCAAACAGGUGAUUCCUUCUACCAACUAACAUUACCUUCAUUGUUUGGGAUUAAAGGUGUGUAUUCAGGACUAUCAGUAUUCCAGCCAGAGGGAUUAAAGGUGUGUGCUAAAACUGAGCCACACCAAACUAGAAACAGCUUUUCUCAGUAAACAACACAAAUCUCCGGGUUCACAGUGUGAUCAAAUAUCCUGCAACAACCAGUCAAGCCCCUUCCCCUUCAUUCCUUACCAGAUCUUGUUUCAGUCUUUAGUUUCCCAGUCAUUCAGGAAACUGUUCAAUGCCCAUUCAGGAAAGCUUGCAGUGAUUACUCAUGGAUAUGAUACGUGCUUAUCCUUUACAGGUGAGCCUGGAACAGAGUACAGAAACCACUGGCACUGAGUUGUCACUGGACAAUUUCCUCCUAGCUGUGUAAGAGGUGUAAUAGCCAUGAUUCUAGCUUUGAUAGAAGAGGUGUGGGAUUUCUUUAAAUCUCUUUAUUUUCUUCCCAAGUGGAGUGUCCUUGCAUGUUUAUCCAUUUUCUUUCUGAAAAUAGCUAUGAACUCUCAGCCAGGUCAAUGUAUAUUACAUAGGCAGGUUGCAGCUUAUUCCAGCGCUCUCAUUACCACCAAGCACAGUUAAUCAACUGCACA